UACGUAGGGUGCGAGCGUUAAUCGGAAUUACUGGGCGUAAAGCGUGCGCAGGCGGUUGUGCAAGACAGGUGUGAAAUCCCCGGGCUUAACCUGGGAACUGCAUUUGUGACUGCACGGCUAGAGUGUGUCAGAGGGGGGUAGAAUUCCACGUGUAGCAGUGAAAUUCGUAGAUAUCAGGAGGAACACCGGUGGCGAAAGCGGCUUCCUGGCCCGACACUGACGCUCAUGUACGAAAGCGUGGGGAGCAAACAGG
Molecule: ribosomal RNA, 253 nt
Filed under: uncultured bacterium
Lineage: Bacteria
Description: partial 16S ribosomal RNA
Rfam family: Bacterial small subunit ribosomal RNA
Source: RNAcentral